UACAGAUGGGGCAAGCGUUGUUCGGAAUUACUGGGCGUAAAGGGCGCGUAGGCGGCCUGUUAAGUCGAACGUGAAAUCCCCGGGCUCAACCCGGGAACUGCGUCCGAUACUGGCAGGCUUGAAUCCGGGAGAGGGAUGCGGAAUUCCAGGUGUAGCGGUGAAAUGCGUAGAUAUCUGGAGGAACACCGGUGGCGAAGGCGGCAUCCUGGACCGGCAUUGACGCUGAGGCGCGAAAGCCAGGGGAGCAAACGGG
RNAcentral lists this ribosomal RNA (253 nucleotides) under uncultured bacterium. RNAcentral describes it as "partial 16S ribosomal RNA". It matches the Rfam family "Bacterial small subunit ribosomal RNA", at positions 524 to 776 of the family's 1533-position model. The record is from RNAcentral.